UAAGAUUAGCCAUGCAUGUCUAAGUAUAAGCAAAUUUGUACUGUGAAACUGCGAAUGGCUCAUUAAAUCAGUUAUAGUUUAUUUGAUGGUACCUUGCUACAUGGAUAACUGUGGUAAUUCUAGAGCUAAUACAUGCAAUAAAGCCCCGACUUCCGGAAGGGGUGUAUUUAUUAGAUAAAAAACCAACGCGGUUCGCCGCUCCUUUGGUGAUUCAUAAUAACUUCUCGAAUCGCACGGCCUUGUGCUGGCGAUGCUUCAUUCAAAUAUCUGCCCUAUCAACUUUCGAUGGUAGGAUAGUGGCCUACCAUGGUUUCAACGGGUAACGGGGAAUAAGGGUUCGAUUCCGGAGAGGGAGCCUGAGAAACGGCUACCACAUCCAAGGAAGGCAGCAGGCGCGCAAAUUACCCAAUCCCGACACGGGGAGGUAGUGACAAUAAAUAACAAUAUAGGGCCCUUUCGGGUCUUAUAAUUGGAAUGAGUACAAUUUAAAUCCCUUAACGAGGAACAAUUGGAGGGCAAGUCUGGUGCCAGCAGCCGCGGUAAUUCCAGCUCCAAUAGCGUAUAUUAAAGUUGUUGCAGUUAAAAAGCUCGUAGUUGAACUUCAGACCUGGCCGGAUGGUCUGCCUAACGGUAUGUACUGUCUUGGCCGGGCCUUACCUCUUGGUGAGCCAUCAUGCCCUUUACUGGGUGUGGUGGGGAACCAGGACUUUUACCUUGAGAAAAUUAGAGUGUUCAAAGCAGGCCUACGCCCGAAUACAUUAGCAUGGAAUAAUAAAAUAGGACGUGCGGUUCUAUUUUGUUGGUUUCUAGAGUCGCCGUAAUGAUUAAUAGGGAUAGUUGGGGGCAUUAGUAUUCAGUUGCUAGAGGUGAAAUUCUUGGAUUUACUGAAGACUAACUACUGCGAAAGCAUUUGCCAAGGAUGUUUUCAUUAAUCAAGAACGAAGGUUAGGGGAUCGAAAACGAUCAGAUACCGUUGUAGUCUUAACAGUAAACUAUGCCGACUAGGGAUCGGGUGACCUCAAUUUUAUGUGGCGCUCGGCACCUUACGAGAAAUCAAAGUUUUUGGGUUCUGGGGGGAGUAUGGUCGCAAGGCUGAAACUUAAAGGAAUGACGGAAGCACCACCAGAUAUCCUC
Molecule: ribosomal RNA, 1134 nt
Filed under: Hydnellum melanocarpum
Lineage: Eukaryota; Fungi; Basidiomycota; Agaricomycetes; Thelephorales; Thelephoraceae
Description: SSU rRNA
Rfam family: Eukaryotic small subunit ribosomal RNA
Source: RNAcentral